RNAcentral lists this ribosomal RNA (459 nucleotides) under uncultured bacterium. RNAcentral describes it as "partial 16S ribosomal RNA". It matches the Rfam family "Bacterial small subunit ribosomal RNA", at positions 338 to 795 of the family's 1533-position model. The record is from RNAcentral.
CCUACGGGGGGCAGCAGUGAGGAAUAUUGGUCAAUGGACGAGAGCCUGAACCAGCCAAGUAGCGUGAAGGAUGACUGCCCUAUGGGUUGUAAACUUCUUUUAUAUGGGAAUAAAAUGUUCCACGUGUGGGAUUUUGUAUGUACCUUAUGAAUAGGAUCGGGCAACUCCGUGACAGCAGCCGCGGUAAUACGGAGGAUCCGAGCGUUAUCCGGAUUUAGUGGGUGUAAAGGGAGCGUAGGUGGGUUGUUAAGUCAGUUGUGAAAGUCUGCGGGUCAAACGUAAAAUUGCAGUUGAGACUGGCAGUCUUGAGUACAGUAGAGGUGGGCGGAAUUCGUGGUGUAGCGGUGAAAUGCUUAGAUAUCACGAAGAACUCCGAUUGCGAAGGCAGUUCACUGGACUGCAACUGACACUGAGGCUCGAAAGUGUGGGUAUCAAACAGGAUUAGAUACCCUUGUAGUC